CUCCUACGGGAGGCAGCAGUCGGUAAUCUUCCGCAAUGGGCGCAAGCCUGACGGAGCAACGCCGCGUGAGUGAGGAAGGCCUUCGGGUUGUAAAACUCAGUCACCUGGGAAGAGAGGUAUGGGGAGUGGAAUGCCCCAUACGAGACGGUACCAGGGGAGGAAGCCCCGGCUAACUACGUGCCAGCAGCCGCGGUAAUACGUAGGGGGCAAGCGUUGUCCGGAAUCACUGGGCGUAAAGCGUGCGUAGGCGGUCUUUCAAGUCCGGGGUGAAAACUCAAGGCUCAACCUUGAGAAUGCCUUGGAAACUGGGGGACUUGAGUACUGGAGAGGCAAGGGGAAUUCCACGUGUAGCGGUGAAAUGCGUAGAGAUGUGGAGGAAUACCAGUGGCGAAGGCGCCUUGCUGGACAGUGACUGACGCUGAGGCACGAAAGCGUGGGGAGCAAACAGGAUUAGAUACCCUGGUAGUCCACGCUGUAAACGAUGAGUGCUAGGUGUUGGGGGUUCAUCCCCUCAGUGCCGAAGGAAACCCAAUAAGCACUCCGCCUGGGGAGUACGGUCGCAAGACUGAAACUCAAAGGAAUUGACGGGGGCCCGCACAAGCAGUGGAGCAUGUGGUUUAAUUCGAAGCAACGCGAAGAACCUUACCAGGGCUUGACAUCCCUCUGACCGGUUCAGAGAUGGGCCUUCCCUUCGGGGCAGAGGAGACAGGUGGUGCAUGGUUGUCGUCAGCUCGUGUCGUGAGAUGUUGGGUUAAGUCCCGCAACGAGCGCAACCCUUGACCUGUGUUACCAGCACGUAAUGGUGGGGACUCACAGGUGACUGCCGGCGUAAGUCGGAGGAAGGUGGGGAUGACGUCAAAUCAUCAUGCCCUUUAUGUCCUGGGCUACACACGUGCUACAAUGGGCGGUACAACGGGAAGCGAGACCGCGAGGUGGAGCGAAACCCAAAAAGCCGUUCGUAGUUCGGAUUGCAGGCUGCAACCCGCCUGCAUGAAGCCGGAAUUGCUAGUAAUCGCGGAUCAGCAUGCCGCGGUGAAUCCGUUCCCGGGCCUUGUACACACCGCCCGU
Molecule: ribosomal RNA, 1068 nt
Filed under: Alicyclobacillus sp. enrichment culture clone MRSIwood-SM-01F
Lineage: Bacteria; Bacillati; Bacillota; Bacilli; Caryophanales; Alicyclobacillaceae
Description: bacterial SSU rRNA
Rfam family: Bacterial small subunit ribosomal RNA
Source: RNAcentral